UACUUAUAUUUUUGAAUAUGUCUAUGAGAAAACAGAACUUGGUUUUCCUCAAGGAUAGGGAAUUCCAUUGCUGAGGGCAAAGGGUAGGAGGGAGAUUUCUGACCAUAUACAUGGUGAAUGGUACAUGUCAAACUUUAAUCCAUAUGACCAUAUUUCCUAUUAAAAAUAAAUUAUAAAAUAUCUUUAAUUAUAAAAUAACUAAACUUGUUUUUUAAACUUGGAUAGAGGGUCGUGUGCUAGAGAAUGGAUUUCCAUGAGGUGGGAAGGAUACCAGAGGGCCUCAAUGGCUUUUAAAAAAUAUCUAAAUUCUGCACUUUAUUUUAUGUAUUUUUAAUUUUGUUUUUUAAUUAUGGCUUUAAUUAUAUAAAUUUGUGACUUCCAAAGAUUAUAGUUCAAGAGUUUCCCCAAUGCAGUAAAGAAUACACACGCACACAGGCCUCUUCAGACUAUCAGUGUUUCCUCCCAGGCCUUAGCUAUAAAAAGCUUUUCUCCUUCACUGCUCUCACAGAGUCACAUAUUUCCUGCCUCUCAGCUGCCUGUGCUUGCUGAUGUCUGACCUGAAUGACCUUUACAGAGUCAACCAAGAUGAGAGGCGGCCCCAGAGUCUUCUGGAGCCUCCCUUUGAAGGCCCGGUGUUGAUUAUUUGCUUAUCAAGCCUUUGCUGAGAAUUUUCGAGAUGCCAAGCACUGUGCCCAGCUCUGAAAGCAACUUUGGAAUCAUUGCAGGAGCACGGGGACCAGGACUUUCCCAGCUCCCUGAAGGGAAUGGCAAUUCCAAGGCAAAGUGCUACUCUGUGGGAGUCAAGUGUGACCCUGCAUGUGAGAUGCCUAGGAAAGCCUCAGAGUGAGGCAAGAGCAGCUACUGGUGAUCCCCACAGUACCUAAUCUGCUCACUUUCUCCCGCCUUGGAGCCAGUCUUUAUAGGACCAGGUAUGGACACCUGAGACCAACCUUCACAUGCCUACACAAGAUGACUUCAUGUACUUCUUACCCUUCCAAGAAUGAUGAUGAUCAACUAUUCUGCAUUUAAAGGAUUCGAAAGAUAAACAUGCAAUGAAAAGAUUCUCCUAGGAACAUUAAAAUCAAAACAAAACCUUGGACUGAAUGAAACAUUAUGCACCACCUUUGUCAGUCAUUGUGCCUGCCCACGCAAUCGUCCUUGUAGUCAGAACAUCCUGCCCAUCUCUCCAGUCUCUCUCUUGGCCAUGGUCCCCAUCACUGCCAGAUCCAGACACACUGGCCUUCCUUGUGAUCUACAGACAUUUCAUGACUCAUGUUUGCCUUGGUAUGCACUGUUCCUCAGUCUGAAAACUGUUCCAUUCUCCAUUUUCCACUAAAUACACUUGUUCAGCCUUCAAAUUGUGACUCAACUGUUACUUCUCAGAGGCCAAGUUUAGUUUCCAGGAAUGAGCUCCCGUGAACCUUGCCUUGAGGAUUUCUAGUUAUAAUUUUACAUUUUUUGCAUGGAUUAUUUGAUUUAUGCUCAUCUCCUUUACCAGCCAAUAAACUCCAUGACAGUAGGGAGGUUCUUACCUCUGACCAAGUCCCCAGCACCAAGGACAGCACAUGGUCAAGUGCUCAAGAACUAAAUGUGGCAUAAACAAACACACCUGCAUGUCUAUGGCUCUUACUCAGAAGAUAUCUAUAUCCCGCCUACUUGUAAUCAAAUGCUAUUCACAGGUGAUGUGACAGCUGCUGAAUCAAUAAGGCAGAUCCUGAGUGACUUAUUUCAAUAUCUUCAGUAUGACCAAAGAUUAUUCU
This is a long non-coding RNA of Sciurus carolinensis (gray squirrel), 1760 nucleotides long. RefSeq lists it as uncharacterized. Lineage: Eukaryota; Metazoa; Chordata; Mammalia; Rodentia; Sciuridae. The record is from RefSeq and is a predicted model, not a curated record. The transcript is spliced from 3 exons.